GAUGAACGCUGGCGGCGUGCCUAAUACAUGCAAGUCGAGCGAACGGACGAGAAGCUUGCUUCUCUGAUGUUAGCGGCGGACGGGUGAGUAACACGUGGAUAACCUACCUAUAAGACUGGGAUAACUUCGGGAAACCGUAGCUAAUACCGGAUAAUAUUUUGAACCGCAUGGUUCAAAAGUGAAAGACGGUCUUGCUGUCACUUAUAGAUGGAUCCGCGCUGCAUUAGCUAGUUGGUAAGGUAACGGCUUACCAAGGCAACGAUGCAUAGCCGACCUGAGAUGGUGAUCGGCCACACUGGAACUGAGACACGGUCCAGACUCCUACGGGAGGCAGCAGUAGGGAAUCUUCCGCAAUGGGCGAAAGCCUGACGGAGCAACGCCGCGUGAGUGAUGAAGGUCUUCGGAUCGUAAAACUCUGUUAUUAGGGAAGAACAUAUGUGUAAGUAACUGUGCACAUCUUGACGGUACCUAAUCAGAAAGCCACGGCUAACUACGUG
RNAcentral lists this ribosomal RNA (497 nucleotides) under uncultured bacterium. Its description in RNAcentral is "partial 16S ribosomal RNA". It matches the Rfam family "Bacterial small subunit ribosomal RNA", at positions 28 to 507 of the family's 1533-position model. The record is from RNAcentral.